Molecule: ribosomal RNA, 208 nt
Filed under: uncultured bacterium
Lineage: Bacteria
Description: partial 16S ribosomal RNA
Rfam family: Bacterial small subunit ribosomal RNA
Source: RNAcentral
GAGGCAGGUGGUCUCGUUUGUCUGGGGUGAAAUCCCUGAGCUUAACUCAGGACGUGCCUCAGAAACGGCGAGACUGGAGUCCUAGAGAGGGUCGUGGAAUUCCCGGUGUAGCGGUGAAAUGCGUAGAGAUCGGGAGGAACACCAGAGGCGAAGGCGGCGACCUGGAUAGGUACUGACACUCAACUCCGAAAGCGUGGGGAAGCAAACA